ACACCUCAACUCUCAUGGCUUGCCAUGACGAGCUUGGACUUUGGGGGUCUUGUUGGCCUGUGAGCCAGCUCCUCUUAAAUAAAUCAGCUUGCCGGUGUUUGGUGGCGUCACAGGUGUGAUAACUAUCUACGCUUGUGGUCCUCCACCAUGUAACCUUCAGUGAUAUGGAGGUUCGCUGGAGCUCACAAAUGUCUUUCCUCAGCGAAGACAGCUCUUGAUC
Molecule: unclassified non-coding RNA, 220 nt
Filed under: uncultured Tomentella
Lineage: Eukaryota; Fungi; Basidiomycota; Agaricomycetes; Thelephorales; Thelephoraceae
Description: sequence contains ITS2
Source: RNAcentral